GACGAACGCUGGCGGCGUGCUUAACACAUGCAAGUCGAACGAUGAAGCGGUGCUUGCACCGUGUAUUAGUGGCGAACGGGUGAGUAAUACGUGAGUGACCUACCUUUGACUCUGGGAUAAGCCUGGGAAACUGGGUCUAAUACCGGAUACGACCAAUCUCUGCCUGGGGUGUUGGUGGAAAGCUCUAUGGAGUGGUAUUAGAUAGGCUCACGGCCUAUCAGCUUGUUGGUGAGGUAAUGGCUUACCAAGGCGACGACGGGUAGCCGGCCUGAGAGGGUGACCGGCCACACUAGGACUGAGAGACGGCCCAGACUCCUACAGGAGACAACAGUGGGGAGUAUUACACAGUGGGCGCAAGCCUGAUGCAGCGACGCCGCGUGAGGGAUGACGGCCUUCGGGUUGUGAACCUCUGUUAGCAUCGACGAAGCGAAAGUGACGGUAGGUGCAGAGAAAGCGCCGGCUAACUACGUG
RNAcentral lists this ribosomal RNA (471 nucleotides) under uncultured bacterium. RNAcentral describes it as "partial 16S ribosomal RNA". It matches the Rfam family "Bacterial small subunit ribosomal RNA", at positions 28 to 507 of the family's 1533-position model. The record is from RNAcentral.